Molecule: non-coding RNA, 1770 nt
Organism: Oncorhynchus mykiss (rainbow trout)
Lineage: Eukaryota; Metazoa; Chordata; Actinopteri; Salmoniformes; Salmonidae
Source: RefSeq, a predicted model, not a curated record
AACACUAGGACUGGGUCUGUUGUCAGUAACACUAGGACUGGGUCUGUUGUCAGUAACACUAGGACUGGGUCUGUUGUCAGUAACACUAGGGUCUGUUGUGAGUAACACUAGGACUGGGUCUGUUGUCAGUAACACUAGGACUGGGUCUGUUGUCAGUAACACUAGGACUGGGUCUGUUGUCAGUAACACUAGGGUCUGUUGUCAGUAACACUAGGGUUGGGUCUGUUGUCAGUAACACUAGGACUGGGUCUGUUGUCAGUAACACUAGGGUCUGUUGUCAGUAACACUAGGACUGGGUCUGUUGUCAGUAACACUAGGACUGGGUCUUUUGUCAGUAACAAUAGGGUCUGUUGUCAGUAACACUAGGACUGGGUCUGUUGUCAGUAACACUAGGGUCUGUUGUCAGUAACACUAGGACUGGGUCUGUUGCCAGUAACACUAGGGCUGGGUCUGUUGUCAGUAACAAUAGGGUCUGUUGUCAGUAACACUAGGACUGGGUCUGUUGUCAGUAACACUAGGACUGGGUCUGUUGUCAGGAACACUAGGACUGGGUCUGUUGUCAGUAACACUAGGACUGGGUCUGUUGUCAUUAACACUAGGACUGGGUCUGUUGUCAGUAACACUAGGACUGGGUCUGUUGUCAGUAACACUAGGACUGGGUCUGUAGUCAAUAACAAUAAGGUCUGUUGUCAGUAACACUAGGACUGGGUCUGUUGUCAGUAACACUAGGACUGGGUCUGUUGUCAGUAACACUAGGACUGGGUCUGUUGUCAGUAACACUAGGACUGGAUCUGUUGUCAGUAACAAUAGGGUCUGUUGUCAGUAACACUAGGGUCUGCUGUCAGUAACACUAGGACUGGGUCUGUUGUCAGUAACACUAGGACUGGGUCUGUUGUCAGUAACACUAGGACUGGGUCUGUUGUCAGUAACAAUAGGGUCUGUUGUCAGUAACACUAGGGUCUGCUGUCAGUAACACUAGGACUGGGUCUGUUGUCAGUAACACCAGGACUGGGUCUGUUGUCAGUAACACUAGGGUCUGUUGUCAGUAACACCAGGACUGGGUCUGUUGUCAGUAACACUAGGGUCUGUUGUCAGUAACACUAGGACUGGGUCUGUUGUCAGUAACAAUAGCGUCUGUUGUCAGUAACACUAGGACUAGGUCUGUUGUCAGUAACACUAGGACUGGGUCUGCUGUCAGCAACACUAGGACUGGGUCUGUUGUCAGUAACACCAGGACUGGGUCUGUUGUCAGUAACACUCGGGUCUGUUGUCAGUAACACUAGGACUGGGUCUGUUGUCAGUAACAAUAGCGUCUGUUGUCAGUAACACUAGGACUGGGUCUGUUGUCAGUAACAAUAAGGUCUGUUGUCAGUAACACUACGGUCUGUUGUCAGUAACAGUAGGGUCUGUUGUCAGUAACACUAGGGUCUGUUGUCAGUAACACUAGGACUGGGUCUGUUGUCAGUAACACUGGGACUGAGUCUGUUGUCAGUAACACUAGGACUGGGUCUGUUGUCAGUAACACUAGGACUGGGUCUGUAACACUAGGGUCUGUUGUCAGUAACACUAGGACUGGGUCUGUUGUCAGUAACACUAGGGCUGGGUCUUUUGUCAGUAACACUAGGACUGGGUCUGUUGUCAGUAACACUAGGACUGGGUCUGUUGUCAGUAACACUAGGGUCUGUUGUCAGUAACACUAGGACUGGGUCUGUUGUCAGUAACACUAGGGCUGGGUCUGUUGUCAGUAACACUAGGACUGGGUCUGUUGUC